This 1405-nucleotide long non-coding RNA is filed under the name Equus caballus (horse). Its description in RNAcentral is "lncRNA (ENSECAG00000046291.1)". Lineage: Eukaryota; Metazoa; Chordata; Mammalia; Perissodactyla; Equidae. The record is from RNAcentral.
CAGGGGAAAGUGAGAACACAGUCCGCCACUAUCACCAAUUAUGCAGUCAAGUUUCCCACAGUUGGGUAAAUCGCAGAGGUCAGCGUUUCCAACUUGGAUGGAUGAAACUUGCCCUGGGAAAACCAUCAUGGUAUCUCCCCUGACAGGCACAGACUAUAAGUGUAAGAUGCACAGUCACUGAGGUCUUGGAGGAGAGAGGGGUUACAACUUUAAAGAGAAAAGCCAUCUGUCUGCAUGGCAGUUAUGAUGACAUCAAAUAAGAAGAACUCUUUGGAUUCUAUUUCAGAUCAAAUCAGAGGCAAAGAAGGAAAAAAAUGCAGAAAAGAGAGGGGAGCGGUCCUAAUUUCUCAACUUCACUUGGAAUUAACAAGGCUGAAGUUCUAAUCCUGAAGGAAUAUAAUAAGGAGCUCAUUGAAGGCUCUGGCUGUGCUUUGUCAUCUCAGCUUCUCCAGUGCCCAGCUUAGUGAUAAACAUUAAAUACAGAUCCUACUGAAGUUAAUGAGUGUGUGUGAAUCUAGCUGAUAAGAGGUAAUACUUACAAAACAUUUUUUGUUAUUGACUUUUAUUGUUUAGCCCUAUUUAUCUCAAUCAUGCUAUUUCUUAUCCCAAUGCUUAGGCAUAUGUUUUUCUCACAGUUUUGAUAUGUAACCUAUUUAUAAAAAUAUAGAUGUAGAACAACCCACCUUAGAAAAAUGUGAAAAACAGGACAAAUACAAAAAGUGCAUACAUGAAUCCCACUACCAUUAGAAUUUUAGUGUAUUCCACUCUAGUUUUUUAGAGAGCAUUUAAAAAUGUACUCAUAAUAAUCAAAUCCAUAUAAUUUUGCUUCAAGAAAUACUUAUUUUAAGUACUUGUCUUCAUUCUUCAACAGUCCUUACAAUUAGUAUUGUAAAAACAGCCAGAUAUUUUAUCUAGUGGAUUGGUGACAAUGUCCUAAAAUGUUCUGCUGCUGUUAGAUGUUGAAUUGCUUCUAGUUGUCCCCAGUGUCAUAUUGUGCCUCCACGUAUUUGCCUUUUUGUAUAUUUCGGCCGGCUUCCUUAGGCUAGAUUCCUGGGACUGUGAAUAUUAGGAGCACCUUUCAUAAGUUAUUUGCCAAAUUGCUUCUAGAAGAAUUGUACCACCUUAUGUUGUUAGAAAUAAAUGGGGUAGUGAUUUCACUGCACUUUUAUCAGCAUUUUGGUGUUCAUUUACUUAUUUAUUUUUGCAGUUUCACAUGUCAAAUGGUAUUUGCUUUAACUGACAUUUUCUGGCUACUAGAAAGUUUGAAUGUUUUCAAAUCUAUAUUUGAUAAUUAUUUUUCCUUCUGAUGUUAAUUAUCUGUUUAAGGUCUUGCGAAUUUAUCCAUGUUCUCAGUGACUUUUCUAUCAGCAGUUUGAGUAUUCUAUGUUUUAUACCUGUAAAAAUA